RNAcentral lists this ribosomal RNA (456 nucleotides) under uncultured bacterium. Its description in RNAcentral is "bacterial SSU rRNA". It matches the Rfam family "Bacterial small subunit ribosomal RNA", at positions 340 to 810 of the family's 1533-position model. The record is from RNAcentral.
UACGGGAGGCAGCAGUGGGGAAUUUUCCGCAAUGGGCGAAAGCCUGACGGAGCAAUACCGCGUGAGGGAGGAAGGCUCUUGGGUUGUAAACCUCUUUUCUCAGGGAAGAAGUUCUGACGGUACCUGAGGAAUCAGCAUCGGCUAACUCCGUGCCAGCAGCCGCGGUAAUACNGGAGGAUGCAAGCGUUAUCCGGAAUGAUUGGGCGUAAAGCGUCCGCAGGUGGCACUCCAAGUCUGCUGUCAAAGGUCGGGGCUCAACUCCGAACAGGCAGUGGAAACUGGAGAGCUAGAGCGCGGUAGGGGCAGAGGGAAUUCCCGGUGUAGCGGUGAAAUGCGUANAGAUCGGGAAGAACACCAGUGGCGAAAGCGCUCUGCUAGGCCGCAACUGACACUCAGGGACGAAAGCUAGGGGAGCGAAUGGGAUUAGAUACCCCAGUAGUCCUAGCCGUAAACGAU